This 437-nucleotide ribosomal RNA is filed under the name Opopaea sp. MA140. RNAcentral describes it as "partial 16S ribosomal RNA". It matches the Rfam family "Bacterial large subunit ribosomal RNA", at positions 1816 to 2600 of the family's 2925-position model. The record is from RNAcentral. Lineage: Eukaryota; Metazoa; Arthropoda; Arachnida; Araneae; Oonopidae.
CACUAUUAGAAACAUCACUAAUAGCUCCGUCUGCCCAAUGUCAUCACAUAAAUAGCCGCAAUUAUAUGUGCUAAGGUAGCAUAAUAAAUAGCCUAUUAAUUAUAGGAUAGAAUGAACGACCAAACGAAUUUUUACCUCCCUCAAUCUGCCCCCAAAAACCUACACCCAGAGUUAAAAUGCUCUAUCCCCCUAGAAAGACGACAAGACCCUAAUGAACUUAACUACAAGUUAAACUGGGGCGGUUCCUAACCACUUCUUACUACUCCCCCCCAAAAAAAAUCUACCCACUAAUUCAUCAAGUUACCAUAGGGAUAACAGCACAAUUUCUAUCCAAAGCCCUUAUUAAAAUAGAAGAUUAUGACCUCGAUGUUGAAUGAAAACCUGGGUCUAAGCAAAAAUAACCUCAAGGAAGUCUGUUCGACUUAUAACCAUUCACA